This 404-nucleotide ribosomal RNA is filed under the name uncultured Oscillospiraceae bacterium. RNAcentral's name for it is "bacterial SSU rRNA". It matches the Rfam family "Bacterial small subunit ribosomal RNA", at positions 355 to 776 of the family's 1533-position model. The record is from RNAcentral. Lineage: Bacteria; Bacillati; Bacillota; Clostridia; Eubacteriales; Oscillospiraceae.
UGGGGGAUAUUGCACAAUGGGGGAAACCCUGAUGCAGCGACGCCGCGUGUGGGAAGACGGUCCUCUGGAUUGUAAACCACUGUCCCCAGGGACGAAGAUGACGGUACCUGGGGAGGAAGCUCCGGCUAACUACGUGCCAGCAGCCGCGGUAAUACGUAGGGAGCGAGCGUUGUCCGGAAUUACUGGGUGUAAAGGGAGCGUAGGCGGGGAUGCAAGUUGGGUGUCAAAACUACCGGCUCAACUGGUAGUCGCACUCAAAACUGCAACUCUUGAGUGAAGUAGAGGCAGGCGGAAUUCCUAGUGUAGCGGUGAAAUGCGUAGAUAUUAGGAGGAACACCAGUGGCGAAGGCGGCCUGCUGGGCUUUUACUGACGCUGAGGCUCGAAAGUGUGGGGAGCAAACAGG